AUGAGCGGGGGCACUCCUUACAUCGGCAGCAAGAUCAACCUCAUUUCCAAGGUGGAGAUCCGCUACGAGGGCAUCCUCUACACCAUCGACACCAAGAACUCCACCGUAGCCCUCACCAAAGUUGGAUCCUUUGGUACAGAAGACCGGCCAACAGAUGGUCCAAUACCACCUCUAGAUGAAGUCUUUGAAUACAUUAUAUUCCGUGGAAGUGAUGUUAAAGACCUCACUGUUUGUGAGCCGCCAAAACCACAGUGUUCUUUGCCUCAGGACCCAGCCAUUGUUCGGUCUUCAUUAGGUUCAUCUAUUUCUCCAUUCCAGUCAGUGAGUUCCUGUGGACCUUUUGGCAGGAUGCCGACAUACAGCCAGUUCAGUCCAAGUUCAUUGGUCGGGCAGCAGUUUGGUGCUGUUGGUAUCGCUGGAAGCUCUUGACAGCCUUUGGAUCAGAAACGUCAAGCAGCGGUACCUUAUCCCAAAGUAGUGCAGUUGGGUCUGCCUUUACGCAGGAUACAAGAUCUAUAAAGACACAGUUAUCUCAAGGUCAUUCAAGCCUUCAGUUAGACCCUUUGAGAAAAAGCCCAACCAUGGAGCAAGAGUACAGACCGCCUCAGCCCACUUACCUGCUCCAGCACCAGGUGGGAGAAGGAGCCCUCCUGUAUCAGCCAGGCCUUUGCCAUCUACCAGCCAAGAAGCAAUAGAGAAUCAAGAGCACAGGCGAGCUGAAGUACGCAAAGUUUCAAGGCCAGAAAAUGAGCAACCCAGAAAUGAUAGUAAGACAAAUCCUUCCAGGUGCUCCUUCAACUCCAAGGACAGGGUGUGGAGGACGUCGAGGUGGCCGGGGAAGGUUUGGUAUUUGGAGAGAUGGUCCGAUGAAAUUUGAGAAAGACUUUGACUUCGAAAGUGCAAAUGCACAAUUUAACAAAGAGGAGAUUGACAGAGAAUUUCAUAGUAGACUUAAAUUAAAAGAAGAUAAACUUGAGAAACAAAAGAAACCUGUAAAUGGUGAAGAUAAGGGAGACUCUGGAGUUGAUACCCAAAACAGUGAAGGAAUGCUGAUGAAGAAGACCCUCUUGGCCCUAAUUGCUACUACAACAAAACUAAAUGUUGAUAUUUCUUGUGAUGAUAAUAGGGAACGGAGACCAACCUGGGCUGAAGAAAGGCGAUUAAAUGCUGAAACUUUUGGGAUUCCACUCCAUCCAAACCGUGGUCGUGGAGGGUACAGAGGAGGCAGAGGAGGUCUUGGUUUCCGUGGCGGCCGAGGACGUGGCAGUGGCAGAGGUGGUAACUUUAUUACUCCUCAGGGAUUUCGUGGUGGAUUCAGAGGAGGUCGUGGUGGAAGAGAGUUUGCAGAUUUUGAAUAUAGGAAAGACAACAAAGUUGCUGCAUAGUCUUCAAACAAGUCUUUGAAAAUGGGUGAAUUUGUAGCUCUUUAUGGUCCUGAAACUUGGUUUCGG
Octodon degus (degu) is the source of this 1451-nucleotide RNA transcript. It is a transcript of the gene named protein LSM14 homolog A pseudogene, with no coding region annotated. The transcript has a single exon. The record is from RefSeq and is a predicted model, not a curated record. NCBI's taxonomy places the organism in Eukaryota, Metazoa, Chordata, Mammalia, Rodentia, Octodontidae.